RNAcentral lists this ribosomal RNA (376 nucleotides) under uncultured bacterium. Its description in RNAcentral is "bacterial SSU rRNA". It matches the Rfam family "Bacterial small subunit ribosomal RNA", at positions 524 to 898 of the family's 1533-position model. The record is from RNAcentral.
UACGGAGGGUGCAAGCGUUAAUCGGAAUUACUGGGCGUAAAGGGAGCGUAGGCGGAUACUUAAGUGGGAUGUGAAAUACCUGGGCUUAACUUGGGUGCUGCAUUCCAAACUGGGUGUCUAGAGUGUUGGAGAGGAAAGUGGAAUUCCUAGUGUAGCGGUGAAAUGCGUAGAGAUUAGGAAGAACACCAGUGGCGAAGGCGACUUUCUGGACAAUAACUGACGCUGAGGCUCGAAAGCGUGGGGAGCAAACAGGAUUAGAUACCCUGGUAGUCCACGCCGUAAACGAUGGGUACUAGGUGUAGGAGGUAUCGACUCCUCCUGUGCCGCCGUUAACACAAUAAGUACCCCGCCUGGGGAGUACGGUCGCAAGAUUAAA